Molecule: ribosomal RNA, 474 nt
Filed under: uncultured bacterium
Lineage: Bacteria
Description: bacterial SSU rRNA
Rfam family: Bacterial small subunit ribosomal RNA
Source: RNAcentral
ACUCCUACGGGAGGCAGCAGUGGGGAAUAUUGCACAAUGGGGGAAACCCUGAUGCAGCCAUGCCGCGUGUGUGAAGAAGGCCUUCGGGUUGUAAAGCACUUUCAGUAGGGAGGAAGGUAGUGUAGUUAACACCUGCAUUAUUUGACGUUACCUACAGAAGAAGCACCGGCUAACUCCGUGCCAGCAGCCGCGGUAAUACGGAGGGUGCGAGCGUUAAUCGGAAUUACGUGGGCGUAAAGCGCAUGCAGGCGGCCUGUUAAGUCAGAUGUGAAAGCCCGGGGUCUUAACCUCGGAAUUGCAUUUGAAACUGGCAGGCUAGAGUCUUGUAGAGGGGUUAGAAUUUCAGGUGUAGCGGUGAAAUGCGUAGAGAUCUGAAGGAAUACCAGUGGCGAAGGCGGCCCCGUGGACAAAGCUGACGCUCAGAUGCGAAAGCGUGGGAGCAAACAGGAUUAGAUACCCCGUGGUAGACUGUCA